AUUAUCUAAUUGAAUAAUUUAACGAUUUCCCUUUCCUAUUUGAUAUUGAUUAGCUCACCAAUCCAUAUGUAUAUGUAAUGGAACUCUAUUCGCUUUUCUGAUUGAUAUAUAAAAUAAUAGAAUUAGGAAAUCCUCUAUUUACUAUUCACUUAAUAAUAACUUUUUUGUUGACAAAAGAAUAAAGAUCAUUUCUAUUCCAAGGUGGGGAGUUUUAUUUUCCCCAUCGACCUA
This 231-nucleotide unclassified non-coding RNA is filed under the name Solanum betaceum (tamarillo). Its description in RNAcentral is "small plastid RNA". The record is from RNAcentral. Lineage: Eukaryota; Viridiplantae; Streptophyta; Magnoliopsida; Solanales; Solanaceae.